Molecule: ribosomal RNA, 557 nt
Filed under: Trichoderma harzianum
Lineage: Eukaryota; Fungi; Ascomycota; Sordariomycetes; Hypocreales; Hypocreaceae
Description: eukaryotic LSU rRNA
Rfam family: 5.8S ribosomal RNA (bases 166-319)
Source: RNAcentral
CCAAACUGUUGCCUCGGCGGGAUCUCUGCCCCGGGUGCGUCGCAGCCCCGGACCAAGGCGCCCGCCGGAGGACCAACCAAAACUCUUAUUGUAUACCCCCUCGCGGGUUUUUUUAUAAUCUGAGCCUUCUCGGCGCCUCUCGUAGGCGUUUCGAAAAUGAAUCAAAACUUUCAACAACGGAUCUCUUGGUUCUGGCAUCGAUGAAGAACGCAGCGAAAUGCGAUAAGUAAUGUGAAUUGCAGAAUUCAGUGAAUCAUCGAAUCUUUGAACGCACAUUGCGCCCGCCAGUAUUCUGGCGGGCAUGCCUGUCCGAGCGUCAUUUCAACCCUCGAACCCCUCCGGGGGGUCGGCGUUGGGGAUCGGCCCUCCCUUAGCGGGGUGGCCGUCUCCGAAAUACAGUGGCGGUCUCGCCGCAGCCUCUCCUGCGCAGUAGUUUGCACACUCGCAUCGGGAGCGCGGCGCGUCCACAGCCGUUAAACACCCAACUUCUGAAAUGUUGACCUCGGAUCAGGUAGGAAUACCCGCUGAACUUAAGCAUAUCAAUAAGCGGAGGAAUG